Molecule: long non-coding RNA, 1123 nt
Organism: Peromyscus californicus insignis
Lineage: Eukaryota; Metazoa; Chordata; Mammalia; Rodentia; Cricetidae
Exons: 3
Source: RefSeq, a predicted model, not a curated record
GGCUAAUUACUCAAAGGGACCCAGAGUGCCCAACCAGCCAUUUCUACAGGUCUGGCCCAACAGGGACCUUCUUUACCACACUCAGGGGGUUCUGCCCAGAGGAGGGUUCAGGGCAUGACCCUAGGGAGGCUGGGAGCCCCUGAGGAAACUUUGACCCAGGACAGGAGCUGACUGCAGCGUUCACUUCUUGGCUCUGGAUUCUGCAUUGACCCCAGGGCUUCUGGAUUUUGAUGGAGGUUUCUGACUGAACUGACCAAUGGCACUCUCAAUCACAGCAAUAUUUGAUUCACAGACUGAAAUUCUAACCUCCAACAACCUCACUGUGGGAUCAUACUUGGAACUGAGUCACUGCAGAUGUCGUUACUAAAGAUGAGGUCAUUCAGGAUAAGUGCCUGCCUCCGUAUCCAGUCUGCAGUUUAACCAUGACUGGACAAAAUAAGAUGUAGAAGAAAUGUUUAUUAUCCAACUCAGUCAGCAAAGAACUUGCUGGUGUCGUUGACAAAUGAGCCCAGCUCGGGCGUCAAUGCCAGUUGGCAUUUGUUUAUGCUAAUGAGCGAGCAGGGCUGAAGUGAACUGGUAAAGAUGUCUGCUGUAACUUCAUCUGCCCAGAAUACUAGUGGCCUCCUUGCUUCAUCCUAACACAGUUGGCAAAUAUUGGCGGCCUUUUCUCUCAAACGCCUUCAUUACUCACACGCGGUUGCUGAACGCAUUCACAACACUCGGCUGUUUGCUUGGCUUAGACAAUCAAUGAAACAGUGACUUCAGCCAUGAUUAGCCGUUACCCAUUUCUCUGGUGUAAAUACUCCUAACGAGCAACUUCAAGCUGCCACAGUAUGGAACUGGGAGACGGGCCGCACCACCACCACCACAUAGGAUUUCUAUCAGACACGAGAGAGAACCCAAACCCACGGCAUUCCUGAAUGUGUGACAGAGGCUCGCUUGACUGUCCUCCACAGUCUCCAGCUGAAAGCUCCUUGAUCUAGACCGCCUCUUCCAUGUCAGUGCCCAGAGCUGAGAGACCUCAUUAAGAUGACAAAAAUGAACAGUCCUCGUGUGCUGUUCUGUAAAAUUAGCUGAGAAUAGAACUGCUGGUCACCCAUGCUCUAAAAUCAGUUCUGAAGGC